GCAUCAGUAGCGCAGUUGGUUAAGCACGCACCGCUCCUGGAAAGGACGAAGUGCGGGUUCGAGUCCCGCGUGACGUG
Parelaphostrongylus tenuis is the source of this 77-nucleotide non-coding RNA. The record is from the annotation of a GenBank genome assembly. Lineage: Eukaryota; Metazoa; Nematoda; Chromadorea; Rhabditida; Metastrongylidae.